GAUGAAUGCUGGCGGCGUGCUUAACACAUGCAAGUCGAACGAAGCACUUUAUUUGAUUUCCUUCAGGACUGAUUAUUUUGUGACUGAGUGGCGGACGGGUGAGUAACGCGUGGGUAACCUGCCUUGUACAGGGGGAUAACAGUUGGAAACGGCUGCUAAUACCGCAUAAGCGCACGGCAUCGCAUGAUGCAGUGUGAAAAACUCCGGUGGUAUAAGAUGGACCCGCGUUGGAUUAGCUAGUUGGUGGGGUAACGGCCCACCAAGGCGACGAUCCGUAGCCGACCUGAGAGGGUGACCGGCCACAUUGGGACUGAGACACGGCCCAAACUCCUACGGGAGGCAGCAGUGGGGAAUAUUGCACAAUGGGCGAAAGCCUGAUGCAGCGACGCCGCGUGAGCGAAGAAGUAUUUCGGUAUGUAAAGCUCUAUCAGCAGGGAAGAUAAUGACG
RNAcentral lists this ribosomal RNA (448 nucleotides) under uncultured bacterium. RNAcentral describes it as "bacterial SSU rRNA". It matches the Rfam family "Bacterial small subunit ribosomal RNA", at positions 28 to 456 of the family's 1533-position model. The record is from RNAcentral.